RNAcentral lists this small RNA (612 nucleotides) under Pan troglodytes (chimpanzee). Its description in RNAcentral is "processed transcript". The record is from RNAcentral. Lineage: Eukaryota; Metazoa; Chordata; Mammalia; Primates; Hominidae.
CAUAAAUAACAAACAGAGUCUUGUUAUUCUAUAACAUGAAAGAUCCUUAUGAGGGAGAUAAUAUAAAAGGCAUUCAUUAAUUAUAAAAUCUCUCUUCUUCCUCACAGAUCCCAUAUUUCUGCUUCCUCACACUUUUAGAAGUUAAUUGAUGGCUGACUUCUGAAAGUCACUUUCCUUUGCCCUGGUACUUCAGGCCAUAUACAUCUUUUCUUGUCUCCAUAAUCCUCCCUUUCAAGGAUGGCCAGUCAGCUAACUCAAAGAGGAGCUCUCUUUCUGCUGUUCUUCCUAACUCCGGCAGUGACACCAACAUGGUAUGCAGUCCUUUGCUCCCUGCUGAGCAUUUCUUCAAAAGCUGGCUCUGUAACCGGAGCAGGGAGACCUAAUACUUUAGGGAAUCACACACAUCUGGCCUCCUGUUUACAGGACCUAUAAAGCUUUGAGGCUAAUACCGAACUGAAACAGCUGACAAAAAUUCCAUGACCCCCCCCCCGACUCCCCCGCACCCACCAAAGAAACCUCCCAUUAUGGGAAAAAAGAGAGCAGGGGAGAUGAGGUCUGAGAAGAAAUCAACGGAAGCCAGAAGAAGAACUGAAAUGGGAAAACAGAAAAAAA